Molecule: transfer RNA, 69 nt
Filed under: Ictidomys tridecemlineatus (thirteen-lined ground squirrel)
Lineage: Eukaryota; Metazoa; Chordata; Mammalia; Rodentia; Sciuridae
Description: Spermophilus tridecemlineatus (thirteen-lined ground squirrel) tRNA
Rfam family: tRNA
About the family: Transfer RNA (tRNA) molecules are approximately 80 nucleotides in length.
Source: Rfam by way of RNAcentral
GGGGCUGUAGCUCAGUGGUAGAGCACUUGUCUUGCAAGUGUGAGACACUGGGUUUGAUCGUCAGCACCA